GUGGGGAAUCUUGCGCAAUGGGCGAAAGCCUGACGCAGCCAUGCCGCGUGAAUGAUGAAGGUCUUAGGAUUGUAAAAUUCUUUCACCGGGGACGAUAAUGACGGUACCCGGAGAAGAAGCUCCGGCUAACUUCGUGCCAGCAGCCGCGGUAAUACGAAGGGGGCUAGCGUUGCUCGGAAUUACUGGGCGUAAAGGGCGCGUAGGCGGACAGCUUAGUCAGAGGUGAAAGCCCAGGGCUCAACCUUGGAAUUGCCUUUGAUACUGGCUGUCUUGAGUUUGGGAGAGGUGAGUGGAACUCCGAGUGUAGAGGUGAAAUUCGUAGAUAUUCGGAAGAACACCAGUGGCGAAGGCGACUCACUGGCCCAAUACCGACGCUGAGGCGCGAAAGCGUGGGGAGCAAACAGGAUUAGAAACCCGGGUAGUCC
This 425-nucleotide ribosomal RNA is filed under the name uncultured bacterium. RNAcentral describes it as "partial 16S ribosomal RNA". It matches the Rfam family "Bacterial small subunit ribosomal RNA", at positions 354 to 796 of the family's 1533-position model. The record is from RNAcentral.